UGAAGCUGCUAGCAAAGAAAAAGCGAACGGCCAAGCAGUUCUGCUGUGUUCCUCGGUGCGUACCAGCGAGAUGGAAGGACAGCGAUAUUUCCGUUCACGCACUUCCCUCCGAGUGGAAAGGCUGAAGCCGCAGAACCAGGUGGAUCGCUAAACUCCGCAUCGGCAAGGCUGUGACGCUUACAGUGACUGUUUGCUCACGGCAUUUUGCACGGGAUAAUUUCUCCUUACCAGAUGUAGCAUGUCAAAGACAGCGGCUGAAAAAAAUGCAGUACCAACUGAAAACCUGCCAAGGACGUCAUGUUAUGAUGAGAACAAGGAUGCUCAUAUGAAAGAGCUUUCACUGGCAAGACUUCGCCGACGUGUGUAUCGGUCAGCCAGAAAUGAAUCAAGCAAAGAAACUGUUGCCUCCCCAUUAGAAGCAAAGGUGUUGCCCCAUGCACCUGUCAGCACGACCACCAUGGUAAAUUGGCUGCCUGCAACUUGUGCACACAUUGCUUCACCACUAAUUCCUUGGGAUUAAACUCUGACAUUGCAGGACGAUCUCCCAUCCCCUGACCGCAACAGCAUGGACCAAAUAAGUGACAAAGGAAAUAUGGUAAUUUCUUUUUGAAGUUCAGUGUUUGACGGAAGCCCGUCUGGUCGGGAUGAAACAUGGUUAAAAGGGUAAACAAAAACCCGGGGCACUUCGCCGACCAAAUAAAGAUUUAAAAGAAAAGAAGACGUUUCGGCUCCCACACGGGAGCCUUGUUCACAGGUAAAAUAAACAAAGGUGCUCGAGCAGCUCGCUUAAAUAGUCUAGAACACGUGACGCAGGCAGCGCGCAUACACUGACGGCAGAUUGCCAUCGCUCCUGUUCAGAGUGUGUGGCGUAGUCUGGAUCAUGAGGGACUCAAGAUAAAGGCGUCGAGAUAGCCCUUUUUCCCUGGCAAUUUCUUUUUGUAUAUGUAUGUGUUGUGGUAGCUGUCUUUACCUAGACGGUGGCAUGCUUUCUGGAUUUACAUCGUAAAAGCAUUG
Molecule: non-coding RNA, 1014 nt
Organism: Dermacentor albipictus
Lineage: Eukaryota; Metazoa; Arthropoda; Arachnida; Ixodida; Ixodidae
Source: RefSeq, a predicted model, not a curated record